RNAcentral lists this ribosomal RNA (1578 nucleotides) under Triticum aestivum (bread wheat). RNAcentral describes it as "partial small subunit ribosomal RNA". The record is from RNAcentral. Lineage: Eukaryota; Viridiplantae; Streptophyta; Magnoliopsida; Poales; Poaceae.
AUGCCGAUCCCGCAGGACGAGGCGGGAGAGAUUUCGGGAUCUAGGUCGAGGGCAGGGCGGUGGAAGCGGCGGCGGCAGCGGCGCACCCCGGUGGCGGACUGUUCGGGGAAGGCCCAACCGGAAGCCGCGCCGUCAUCGCAGCGAGGCAAGAGGAAAGCCUCCCCGGAGCCGUCGGCCGCAGCAUCGCAGCAGCGAGGCAAGAGCGAAGCCCCCCUAGAGCCGUCCGAGGGAUCCAAGAGGCGGAAGGGAACCACCAAGAAGCGGAAGGGAACUGACAAGAAGAAAGCCGCUACGAGCACGGGCGAGCAGGCGGCCCCAGCUUCACCAGGCGCAUCGCAUGCCUCCUCCUCCUCCUCCUCUGCAGUCAGCUCUCCUCUGCGUUGGCCUCACCCCCCAGCCUACAUCCGAAACCCAGAGAAUGCCCAUGACCCUGCGAUGAAGGAUGCCCUUGAAGCUUAUGACGAGCUCAAAUGCAAGUACCGUGCAAAAAGAAAGCUCCAACAACAGCUUGCAACGCUUGAUAUGUCUAUUUGUGGUUCGUGUAUGGCGAAUGCAAACUUGCAGAGCGUUCGUGAGUCUACUACAAAAACAAUCCUCCAAGCAGCUAAAGUUAUUUUUAGCUUUUCGUCCUAUGUCGAUGGUAAACUCAUGGCACGAUCAUCUGGUUUUCUAAUUGAUUGGGAUGAGGGGAGUAAAGAGGGCACUGUUUUGACAUCUGCGCGAAUAAUCUGCUCAAAAUACACGGCCCUAACCCAGUGGUCAGGUACAGAUGAGUAUGUACCUGAUGCUGAGAUUAUUGCUCAUUUGUUGGAUGAAGAUGAGACAACCGUACCUGCAAUCUUGUUUCGCUAUGACAAGCACAUCAAUAUUGCCGUGUUGAAGGUUAAUUUAGACUUGUGUGCUAAGAUUCCUAGGUUUAGUAGUGACAUAAACUAUGGUCAGGAGAUACUUGUGCUCGGUAGAGAUGAACGUUUAAACAUGACAAUUGCUCAUGGAUGUGUUCAUUUCAUGGGCCCAACUACAUACCAACGUCAUCAUUAUCUAUUCACUGGUUGUGAGCCCAGCAUUGGAGGAAUGGUUAUUGAUUUUGAUGGGCACGUUUUGGGGAUGGCUAAUUUUCCCGGGACAGCAUAUAUUCCUUCCUCUAUUGUAUUGAAGUGCUUGGAUAUGUGGAAAAAAUUUCAGUGUAUCCCUCGCCUGCAUAUUGGGAUGAAGCUUUCACCCAUUAAAUUUCUCGAUCCAAUUCAUGUGGAGAGGAUCUUUCGAAAGUGUAAUAUCGAUUCGGGUCUGAUAGUUAAAGAGGUGUCCCAUGGAUCGAUUGCUGAAGAACUAGGAGUUAGACCUGGUGAUGUCGUUGAUUCCGUGAAUGGAGAGUGUGUUGCUACCACAGUUGAGUUGGAGAACUUAAUUAUGAGAAUAUGCGAGAAUCAUCUUGACCAAGGAGGAGCCAUCGGUUCCUGCAUGGACAUUCUAGUUGGUAUCUUGCACAUGCGGAAAGGUCGCAAAGGUCCGAGGCGCACUUUAAGUCUGAGAUUAAAUGUAUCAGACGACGUAGAGGUGUUCACAAGUGAUUUCUGA